Molecule: long non-coding RNA, 2630 nt
Filed under: Sus scrofa (pig)
Lineage: Eukaryota; Metazoa; Chordata; Mammalia; Artiodactyla; Suidae
Description: lncRNA (ENSSSCG00015064989.1)
Rfam family: tRNA (bases 1272-1343)
Source: RNAcentral
UUUUUUUUUUUUUUUUUAGGGUCGCACUCAUGGCACAUGGAGGUUCCCAGGCUAGGGGUCUAAUUGCAGCUACAGCUGCCAGCCUAUGCCACAGCCACAGCCAUACCAGAUCCCCGACCCGCCAAGUGAAGCCAGAGCUUGAACCCACAUCCUCUUGGAUACUAGUUGUAUUCGUUCCCAUUGCACCACAACAGGAACUCCUUGGUCCUCAUUCCUUGAGCAAGGAGACUUCGCUGUUGUUCAGUAAACCCUGGACAUGCAGACCCCAGCCCUCCCGAUUCCCAGCCAUAGCCCAGUGCCCGGCUCCUCAGCAAACCCCGCACUCAGUCUCUGACACUAAGCCCAAAUGUUAGGCUCAAUUCUUUCACUGGAGAGACUGGGAAAUGAGGUGGAAGAACCAGCAGGUUGAUUAGCUCUAGAGCCAGGCACAGUGCUAGGAGCUUCCGACUCAUUCCAUCUUAAUCAUAAAUCCUAUGAAUCAGACCUUAUAGAUGAAAGCAUUGAGGCUCAAAGAGGUUGUGAUUUUGCCCUUGCCACAUCGCUAGAAAGUGCAAGCAAUACUAGGUCUUUCUCAAUUCACAAACCUUUGCUCUUCUCCAACCCGGUGCUCCUAAGAAGUCGAAGCUCAUCUGUAAACCCCUCGUCAAUGCCAAGCCCAGAUCCCUAGACCGUUUGAAGAUAGCACGUAUGCCUAUCUGGAAAAAGUCUGCCACUUAGAAACUAGGUUUACAGGGGGGUGUUUGAACCCAUAUGUCAGGCAGUGUCAGGUCUCGCUUCCAAAAUCAGAAGAUGCUGAGGAAGCAAAUCUCACAGGUAAAAGGUACUUAUCAUGUACCUCCCAGCAUCUGCAUUGUACGCUUUGCUUUCCCAUUCCUCAGAGUCUUCCCUAGACCUUGGCCAAGACUGUAGAGUCUGCUCUAUAGCCUGGAAAAGGAGAGCAUUUUUUUUUUUUUGUCUUUUUGCUAUUUCUUGGGCCGCUCUGGGGGCAUAUGGAGGUUCCCAGGCUAGGGGUCGGAGCUGCAGCCACCAGCCUACGCCAGAGCCACAGCAACGUGGGAUCCGAGCCGCAUCUGCAACCUACACCACAGCUCGCGGCAACGCUGGAUCCUUAACCCACUGAGCAAGGGCAGGGACCGAACCCGAAACCUCAUGGUUCCUAGUCGGAUUUGUUAACCACUGCGCCACGGCGGGAACUCCAGGAGAGCAUUUUUAUGGCCUGACUUAAAGAAGAAAUAACAGACCAAAGAAAUUAAAAAUCCAACCAGGGGCGUUCCAUGGUGGUCUAGUGGUUAGGAUUUGGCGAUUUCACCACUGCAGCCCAGGUUCAAUCCCUGGUCUGGGAAUUGAUUUCCCACAUCAAGCUCCUGCAUGCUGUGGCCAAAAAUAUAAAGUAAAAUUAAAAGAAAAAUCCAACCAGAAGCCAAUUAUGUAAUUGACAAAGUUCUAUUUUCUUCAUUCAAAUAGGGCGCUAAAUUUUCAAUAUAAGCCUGUGGUUCGCCUUGAGGUUGCCUAGUCUACUUCAGCCCAAGUUCUCAGGUUGACAUUCAUUGCCAGCAAAAGUUCCGACCCAUGACUCCAGGAAGGGCGACUCACACAUUCUGUAAAGGCAGGACCAGCCUCCACCGCUGUACGGGGAGCCCUGCCCACGUUCCCCAGAGGCAGACUAGAACCAGCUAUGACAAACCUCUCUCAGUAACUAAUGGAACAGGCAGAUAAAAGAUUAAUUAAAAAAAAAGAAACAAUUUGAAACAACAUGGUUAACCAACAUGUGAUCUAAUUGGCAUAUUUAGAAUACUUUACCCAGUAUCUGGAGAAUAUACACUCUUUCUAAGUGAUUGUGAAAUAUUUACCAAAAUAGAUCAUCAACUGGGCCAUAAAAUAAGUUUCAACAACUUUUAAAAGGUUGAACGCAGAAUAUUUUCUUUGAUGAGGGUAGCAUUAAAUGAGAAAUCAAUACCAGAAAAAUAAAUAGAAAAUCGCCAAACUUUAGAAAUUAAGCAGCACACAUUUAAAUGAUUCAUAGGUCAUAGAAGAAAUCAAAAUAGAAACUAGAGAAUAUUUUGAACCGAGUGAGAAAACAAUGUAUCGAAACUUGUGGAAUGCAGCUAAAGCAGUGCUUAAAGGGACGUUUAUGGAACUACAUGCAUAUAAUAAAGUAUAAGAAAAUAUAGUACUUAUGGCAUAUAUUUUAAGGGAAGAAAGAUUGAAAAUUAAUGACAUGUUUCCAUCUCAAGAAGCUUGGGAGAAAAAACCCAGCAAAUUAAGCACAAGAAAAAUAGAAGGAAAGCUAUAAAAUAAAUGCAGAAAACAAUGACAUAUAGAAUAUACAUACAAUGGAGAAAAAUCAAAGUUGGCAGUUUGAAAAGAUUAAUAAAAUUCAUAAACACCUAACAAGAUUGAUUUUUUAUUUUUUAAUUUAAUUUUUUGGAAUAUAGUUGAUUUACAAUGUUGUGUUUCAGGUGUAGAGCAAAAUGCUUCUCUUAUACAUAUACCCAUUCUUUUUCAGAUUCUUUCCCCAGAUAGGCCAUUACAAAAUAUUGAGUAAUGUUCCCUGUGAUAUAUACAAUUUUUAUAUACAAUAAUGUGUAUAUGUUAAUCCCAAACUCCUAAUUUAUUCCCUUUUGGUAACC